AUCACUUCUUGGCCUUUUGGUUAAGAUCAAGUGUAGAAUCUGUUCUUAACAGUUUAAUAUGCUGAUACGUCCUUUAUCUGAGGACAACAUAGUAAAUGGAUAUUUUGAGCAGGGAGAUGGAAUAGGAGCUUGCUCCAUCCACCCCACACAUGGACCUGGUAUUGCAGUACCUCCAGGAAUGUUCAACCCUC
Small nuclear RNA from Pongo abelii (Sumatran orangutan), 191 nucleotides. Its record names the gene U2. It matches the Rfam family "U2 spliceosomal RNA". From Rfam's summary of the family: U2 is a small nuclear RNA (snRNA) component of the spliceosome (involved in pre-mRNA splicing). Complementary binding between U2 snRNA (in an area lying towards the 5' end but 3' to hairpin I) and the branchpoint sequence (BPS) of the intron results the bulging out of an unpaired adenosine, on the BPS, which initiates a nucleophilic attack at the intronic 5' splice site, thus starting the first of two transesterification reactions that mediate splicing. The record is from Ensembl. Lineage: Eukaryota; Metazoa; Chordata; Mammalia; Primates; Hominidae.